AGAGUUUGAUCCUGGCUCAGGACGAACGCUGGCGGCGUGCUUAACACAUGCAAGUCGAGCGAGGCCCCACCUUCGGGUGGGUGUCCUAGCGGCGAACGGGUGAGUAACACGUGGGCAACCUGCCCCUAGCACUGGGAUAACCCCGGGAAACCGGGGCUAAUACCGGAUACGACCUCGGAGGGCAUCUUCCGAGGUGGAAAGGGUUACUGGCUAGGGAUGGGCCCGCGGCCUAUCAGCUUGUUGGUGGGGUAACGGCCCACCAAGGCUCCGACGGGUAGCCGGCCUGAGAGGGCGACCGGCCACACUGGGACUGAGACACGGCCCAGACUCCUACGGGAGGCAGCAGUGGGGAAUAUUGGACAAUGGGGGCAACCCUGAUCCAGCAAUGCCGCGUGUGUGAAGAAGGCCUUCGGGUUGUAAAGCACUUUUAUCGGGAACGAAACAUUGUCGGCCAAUACCCGGCAAGACUGACGGUACCCGAGGAAUAAGCACCGGCUAACUCCGUGCCAGCAGCCGCGGUAAUACGGAGGGUGCAAGCGUUGUCCGGAAUUAUUGGGCGUAAAGAGCUCGUAGGCGGCCAGUUGCGUCCGCUGUGAAAUCCCGGGGCUUAACCCCGGGCGUGCAGUGGAUACGGGCUGGCUGGAGGCAGGCAGGGGAGAACGGAAUUCCUGGUGUAGCGGUGAAAUGCGCAGAUAUCAGGAGGAACACCGGUGGCGAAGGCGGUUCUCUGGGCCUGUACUGACGCUGAGGAGCGAAAGCGUGGGGAGCGAACAGGAUUAGAUACCCUGGUAGUCCACGCCGUAAACGUUGGGCGCUAGGUGUGGGUCCCUUCCACGGGGUCUGUGCCGCAGCUAACGCAUUAAGCGCCCCGCCUGGGGAGUACGGCCGCAAGGCUAAAACUCAAAGGAAUUGACG
RNAcentral lists this ribosomal RNA (915 nucleotides) under uncultured bacterium. Its description in RNAcentral is "bacterial SSU rRNA". It matches the Rfam family "Bacterial small subunit ribosomal RNA", at positions 8 to 915 of the family's 1533-position model. The record is from RNAcentral.